UUCCUAAUAGCUUAGUGGUAGAGCGCUCGGCUGUUAACCGAGAAGUCAUUGGUUCAAAUCCAAUUUAGGAAG
Molecule: transfer RNA, 72 nt
Rfam family: tRNA
About the family: Transfer RNA (tRNA) molecules are approximately 80 nucleotides in length. Their secondary structure includes four short double-helical elements and three loops (D, anti-codon, and T loops). Further hydrogen bonds mediate the characteristic L-shaped molecular structure. tRNAs have two regions of fundamental functional importance: the anti-codon, which is responsible for specific mRNA codon recognition, and the 3' end, to which the tRNAs corresponding amino acid is attached (by aminoacyl-tRNA synthetases). tRNAs cope with the degeneracy of the genetic code in two manners: having more than one tRNA (with a specific anti-codon) for a particular amino acid; and 'wobble' base-pairing, i.e. permitting non-standard base-pairing at the 3rd anti-codon position.